This 492-nucleotide ribosomal RNA is filed under the name uncultured bacterium. RNAcentral describes it as "partial 16S ribosomal RNA". It matches the Rfam family "Bacterial small subunit ribosomal RNA", at positions 28 to 507 of the family's 1533-position model. The record is from RNAcentral.
GAUGAACGCUAGCUACAGGCUUAACACAUGCAAGUCGAGGGGAAACGGCAUUGAGUGCUUGCACUCUUUGGACGUCGACCGGCGCACGGGUGAGUAACGCGUAUCCAACCUUCCCAUUACUGUGGGAUAACCUGCCGAAAGGCAGACUAAUACCGCAUAGUCUUCGAUGACGGCAUCAGAUUUGAAGUAAAGAUUUAUCGGUAAUGGAUGGGGAUGCGUCUGAUUAGCUUGUUGGCGGGGUAACGGCCCACCAAGGCUACGAUCAGUAGGGGUUCUGAGAGGAAGGUCCCCCACAUUGGAACUGAGACACGGUCCAAACGCCUACGGGAGGCAGCAGUGAGGAAGAUUGGUCAAUGGACGGAAGUCUGAACCAGCCAAGUAGCGUGCAGGAUGACGGCCCUAUGGGUUGUAAACUGCUUUUGUAUGGGGAUAAAGUUAGGGACGUGUCCCUAUUUGCAGGUACCAUACGAAUAAGGACCGGCUAAUUCCGUG